Molecule: long non-coding RNA, 960 nt
Filed under: Vitis vinifera (wine grape)
Lineage: Eukaryota; Viridiplantae; Streptophyta; Magnoliopsida; Vitales; Vitaceae
Description: long non-coding RNA (VVIN_LNC000455)
Source: RNAcentral
CGCUCACCAAGAACAAGAGACAAGUGGCUCUGUAUCAUCUCAAAUGCUUCAGGAGAGUGAAUAGACUCUAGUUUCUGCUCCUGGUUUGGCCAAAAGUCCACCCGCCCAACAGGAUCUGAGGUAGCUGAUAUCUUCGGAAUCAUUGAAAUGUUUUUGUCUACAAAUUUCUGCACAAUCAAGCAGUAUAGUAUCUCCUCCAACACCUUCUGCCUUUCCUUCUCUCUGACCGCAGCUAUUCUCCUGAAAUGUAGCACAGACUCCUCAGAAAUAAAAUAGGUUGAUGAAAUUAAACUCAACAUUUGCAUAAUCCUUAGAAGUAGAGAACUAGACAACAGUUAAAAUCCCCUGAACCUUACUCUGGUAAGCCUAGUGUGUAACAUGAGUGGAGGCAUCCAAUGGAUGCUAAUCUCUGCUGACUGUCCUGCUUUGAUUCCUUUCAUAGCACCAACAAGUACUUGUGCUUGUGCUUGUGCUAGUGCUAGUGCUAUUCUAACAUUGUUGCAUCUAAAAUAGUAACUGUUCUUCCAACCUUAUGUUUUGGUAGCAACUCAACUGAAGAAGCAUCCAACUGUGGCAGAAGCCCAUGAAAAGGAGUUAAAAAACAGCCAUUAAGGACACAGGCAAACUAGGUCUUCAACACCAUUAUCAGCUGAUCCUAUGGCAUUACAAAGGUCAUGGAUGGAAAGGAUGUCGUGGAUCAUAAUGGCAGUCACUGUUUGUUAAGGACUAUACAGUCUGUCAUGGCCUGUUAGAUCACCUGUUGGCAUAUGAAUGAGACAAAAAAGGGUAAGCCCAAUUUCUCAUUUCUUGGGACAUUUUCUCCUCUGAGGCCUCUUAAAACUUAUGUUUCUCCUCCAGGUCAGUACAGAAGUUCACGGCUAUAAAGGAUGUUCUGGAUCAUCAUGGCCGGGGGAGAGGGCGAGGGAAAGAGGGAGAGAGAAGGAGGGAGAGAGGGGGAGG